GCUCAGGGAGCCUCCCCUGUGGGUGUUUGCUCCUCCCCAGGCUGUGGCCCAUUUCCCCUUCCUCCUUCCUGCUCAGCCCAAAGGCAGGAGUCAUGGAACCCCAGGAAAGGACGGAACAGAACAGGACAGGGCCCCCAGCCCCAUCUUUAUCUCACCGGCUGCUGCUGGCUGCCAAGCCUCCCCUGAAUGGGGGAGGGUGGUCUGUGUGAGUCAGCGGAGGCACGAAGUGGAGGAAGACGGGAGCCUCUGCCAGGCCCGUUGAGCGUGGCCUCAGAAAUGCGCCGCUGGGUUAGGGUCUCCCCGACCGAGGCUCGAAUCCAGGUCGAAGGGUCGCCGGAGCGAUGGUUGGAGAAUGUGGAAGGAGCUGGAGGACACCCGAGUAUUCUUAAAGCAAUCCCCAUGAAGUUAUGCUUGUGUUUCUCCAGGCCAAAAUCAACAGCUGAUCUGGAUACCAUCAAGACACCUGAAAUCUUAUCAUGAGCCAGAUGCUGAGGAAGAGACUCCGGGAGGAUCCCGAGGACGGCCCAGUUGCAGCCAUGUUGAGACUGACGCUGAGGAGGACCCCAACUGUCACGAGCAACACCUGUCGAACACAGCCACCCACCUGGGGACAGAUCAAGAAGCUGUCACAGAUGGCAGAAGAAAACCUGAGGAAAGCGGGACAACCAGUCACAAUGAGUAAUUUCAUGGUAGCUAUGAUAGCAGUUAUCACCACUGCUUCUGCAGAUGUGGAUCCUAACUCCUGCGAGAAGUAACUCACAGUGACAAAGCUGCCUUUGCUUUUAUCGAGUUGCAAAUCAAAGAAGGGGGGACAUGUUGGGAACAGGCCCCCCAAGAUCUGGCCAUAAACUGGCCCCAAAACUGGCUAUAAACAAAAUCUGCAGCACUGUG
Molecule: long non-coding RNA, 891 nt
Filed under: Homo sapiens (human)
Lineage: Eukaryota; Metazoa; Chordata; Mammalia; Primates; Hominidae
Description: HSALNT0384179
Source: RNAcentral